GACGAACGCUGGCGGCGUGCUUAACACAUGCAAGUCGUACGGAAAGGCCCUGCUUUUGUGGGGUGCUCGAGUGGCGAACGGGUGAGUAACACGUGAGUAACCUGCCCUUGACUUUGGGAUAACUUCAGGAAACUGGGGCUAAUACCGGAUAGGAGCUCCUGCUGCAUGGUGGGGGUUGGAAAGUUUCGGCGGUUGGGGAUGGACUCGCGGCUUAUCAGCUUGUUGGUGGGGUAGUGGCUUACCAAGGCUUUGACGGGUAGCCGGCCUGAGAGGGUGACCGGCCACAUUGGGACUGAGAUACGGCCCAGACUCCUACGGGAGGCAGCAGUGGGGAAUAUUGCACAAUGGGCGGAAGCCUGAUGCAGCAACGCCGCGUGCGGGAUGACGGCCUUCGGGUUGUAAACCGCUUUCGCCUGUGACGAAGCGUGAGUGACGGUAAUGGGUAAAGAAGCACCGGCUAACUACGUG
RNAcentral lists this ribosomal RNA (468 nucleotides) under uncultured bacterium. RNAcentral's name for it is "partial 16S ribosomal RNA". It matches the Rfam family "Bacterial small subunit ribosomal RNA", at positions 28 to 507 of the family's 1533-position model. The record is from RNAcentral.